This 519-nucleotide ribosomal RNA is filed under the name uncultured Bacteroidota bacterium. Its description in RNAcentral is "bacterial SSU rRNA". It matches the Rfam family "Bacterial small subunit ribosomal RNA", at positions 9 to 523 of the family's 1533-position model. Lineage: Bacteria; Pseudomonadati; Bacteroidota. The record is from RNAcentral.
GAGUUUGAUCCUGGCUCAGGAUGAACGCUAGCGGCAGGCUUAACACAUGCAAGUCGAGGGGUAACAGGGGCGCUUGCGCCCGCUGACGACCGGCGCACGGGUGCGUAACGCGUAUGCAAUCUACCUUUUACAGGGGGAUAGCCCAGAGAAAUUUGGAUUAAUACCUCAUAGCAUAUGGUCUUGGCAUCAAGACCAUAUUAAAGAUUUAUCGGUAAAAGAUGAGCAUGCGUUCUAUUAGCUGGAUGGUAAGGUAACGGCUUACCAUGGCGACGAUAGAUAGGGGCCCUGAGAGGGGGAUCCCCCACACUGGUACUGAGACACGGACCAGACUCCUACGGGAGGCAGCAGUGAGGAAUAUUGGACAAUGGGCGGGAGCCUGAUCCAGCCAUGCCGCGUGCAGGAAGACUGCCCUAUGGGUUGUAAACUGCUUUUGUACAGGAAGAAACACUCCCUCGUGAGGGAGCUUGACGGUACUGUAAGAAUAAGGAUCGGCUAACUCCGUGCCAGCAGCCGCGGUAA